Molecule: small nucleolar RNA, 77 nt
Organism: Hemiscyllium ocellatum (epaulette shark)
Lineage: Eukaryota; Metazoa; Chordata; Chondrichthyes; Orectolobiformes; Hemiscylliidae
Product: small nucleolar RNA SNORD19
Exons: 1
Source: RefSeq, a predicted model, not a curated record
GAGAAAUGAGGAUAAUUUAAAUGGUCAGAAAGUGUAUGUUUGACUGCUAAAGAUCCAACUCUGAUCUCACUGUGAUA